CCUUCGGGUCUAGUGGCGCACGGGUGCGUAACGCGUGGGAAUCUGCCCUUGGGUUCGGAAUAACAGUUGGAAACGACUGCUAAUACCGGAUGAUGACUUCGGUCCAAAGAUUUAUCGCCCAGGGAUGAGCCCGCGUCGGAUUAGCUAGUUGGUGAGGUAAAGGCUCACCAAGGCAACGAUCCGUAGCUGGUCUGAGAGGAUGAUCAGCCACACUGGGACUGAGACACGGCCCAGACUCCUACGGGAGGCAGCAGUGGGGAAUAUUGGACAAUGGGCGAAAGCCUGAUCCAGCAAUGCCGCGUGAGUGAUGAAGGCCUUAGGGUUGUAAAGCUCUUUUACCCGGGAAGAUAAUGACUGUACCGGGAGAAUAAGCCCCGGCUAACUCCGUGCCAGCAGCCGCGGUAAUACGGAGGGGGCUAGCGUUGUUCGGAAUUACUGGGCGUAAAGCGCACGUAGGCGGCUUUGUAAGUUAGAGGUGAAAGCCCGGGGCUCAACUCCGGAAUCGCCUUUAAGACUGCAUCGCUAGAAUUGUGGAGAGGUGAGUGGAAUUCCGAGUGUAGAGGUGAAAUUCGUAGAUAUUCGGAAGAACACCAGUGGCGAAGGCGACUCACUGGACACAUAUUGACGCU
RNAcentral lists this ribosomal RNA (629 nucleotides) under uncultured bacterium. Its description in RNAcentral is "bacterial SSU rRNA". It matches the Rfam family "Bacterial small subunit ribosomal RNA", at positions 83 to 747 of the family's 1533-position model. The record is from RNAcentral.